This 62-nucleotide small nuclear RNA is filed under the name Dasypus novemcinctus (nine-banded armadillo). RNAcentral's name for it is "U7 small nuclear RNA (ENSDNOG00000030575.1)". It matches the Rfam family "U7 small nuclear RNA". Rfam says of the family: Animal histone pre-mRNAs are spliced by a different mechanism than nuclear pre-mRNAs and self-splicing introns. This processing involves the U7 snRNP, which contains only one RNA species: U7. The record is from RNAcentral. Lineage: Eukaryota; Metazoa; Chordata; Mammalia; Cingulata; Dasypodidae.
AAGUGUUACAGCUCUUUUAGAAUUUGUCUAGAAGAUCUUCUGGCUUUUGCUGGGAGGCCCUC